UACGGAGGGUGCAAGCGUUGUCCGGAUUUAUUGGGUUUAAAGGGUGCGUAGGCGGUUUAAUAAGUCAGUGGUGAAAGUCUGUAGCUUAACUAUAGAAUUGCCAUUGAUACUGUUAGACUUGAGUACAGUUGAGGUAGGCGGAAUUUAUGGUGUAGCGGUGAAAUGCAUAGAUACCAUAAAGAACUCCGAUAGCGAAGGCAGCUUACUAAACUGUUACUGACGCUGAGGCACGAAAGCAUGGGUAGCAAACAGG
Molecule: unclassified non-coding RNA, 253 nt
Filed under: uncultured Cytophagales bacterium
Lineage: Bacteria; Pseudomonadati; Bacteroidota; Sphingobacteriia; Sphingobacteriales
Description: contains 16S-23S intergenic spacer region
Rfam family: Bacterial small subunit ribosomal RNA
Source: RNAcentral